AUUGCAUUAACCCUGUAAUUAAGAGGCAGACCACCCAGCAGCUGCUGCGAGGGGCUUCUCCAGCACACGGAGCUGAGCCAAGCUCUGAGGUGGCUCCCAGGGACACAGACAGUCACCCUCCUAUCAUCCAGGCACUGCCCUUCCCCCUCCUUUGCCAUUUUUCAGCAAUCCUCACAAAGCUGCCAGCAUGCAGGAGAUGUGCUGAGUGCUCAGAGCGGGGAUGUGCUGAGCGCGGCGCUUUGUCUGGGCACUGGGGCUCCCUGGGUGCUCACUCGCAGCAUUGUGAGCAAACAAUUUAUCUGAUGGAUUCCACAUUUCCCAUUUGCAAGCACAGAUUUCUUUAAAUGAGAUUAUUUGUUGUCAGAAUUGCCAUUUCCUGCCACCCUGCCUGGACUCAACUCUUUACCACAGCUGCAAGGAGAAGCUAUCGGGUCACGUGUGUCCAUCUGGGUCUCCACGGGACAAAUGAGUGCUUCUGAAAGGUGGGGACAACACCUCCAGCAAUGCUGGCAUGUUGGGAAGGCAGUGAGGGGCAGUGCACACUGGCAUGGAGAUGUGCUCCCCAGCCCCAGAGUCAACGGGGGCUCACAUGCUUGCAGGAAGCCCAGGAGCUGAGGCUGAGCAGCUGCUAUUCAGGGGCGCAUCCAGAGAAAAGAGCAUGUGAGGGCUGCAGAUGGGCCAGAGCUGCAGUCUCCAGGAGGAAUCGUGAGUGCAGAGCUGAGGAAGGAGCCCUGAGCCCAGUGAAUAGAGGCAGAAAGGAAAGCAGCCCCAGGAGCUUGCUGCUGUCCAUUGGGUCUGCUGCAAGUCAGUAGAGAAGGACGCAUCCCCAUCUGGCUGGGCAGCAAUGGCUCUGAACAGCCCAAAUCAUGGACCAGGAAAGUGAAUAUAAAACAAGGAAAAAAUCCCCAAAGGAACCCAGCUGUGACAGCAGUGAUGACCGCUGCAGAGGCUGCUGCUGGGUGUCAGUUGGGGUGAAGUCACAUCCUUCAACAGCUACUACUUAACAGGGUCCUGUCCUCAGCAUCACCCCUCCUCCGCUCAGCUGGGAGGGCACAGCCCCACAGGCAGGAGGGACCCUGGGAAAAUCCUGGUGACAGCACUGACACCGCAGCUCCCAGGGGGAACGAUGGAGCUGCUGGGUUCUUCCAAGCACAAGUGCCAGCAUGGAUAAACCCAGCUGACAGAGCCAGGCCCAAGCAGAGUAUGCUUCCUGUGCCUGUCUGAACUGA
This 1229-nucleotide long non-coding RNA is filed under the name Phasianus colchicus (ring-necked pheasant). RNAcentral describes it as "lncRNA (ENSPCLG00000008287.1)". Lineage: Eukaryota; Metazoa; Chordata; Aves; Galliformes; Phasianidae. The record is from RNAcentral.